ACUUCAAAUCCUAUUUUUUAUACACCCACAUGUAAAUUUCUUCAUAUCUCACAAUUAAGCACUUAAAUACCACAAAAUUUGUAUCUAUAGCUUUUUAACAUAAUAUUUUACCUUCUCCAAAAGGUUUGAACCAAAAAUUCAUCCAAAAAUUCAAGAUAUGGCUCCAAUCAUUACUAUGAGCAAAAUCACUUAUUUACUGCCUUUGAUUUGGAUGCGCUGAC
RNAcentral lists this long non-coding RNA (221 nucleotides) under Physcomitrium patens. RNAcentral describes it as "long non-coding RNA (PPAT_LNC004554)". The record is from RNAcentral. Lineage: Eukaryota; Viridiplantae; Streptophyta; Bryopsida; Funariales; Funariaceae.